Molecule: RNA transcript, 2624 nt
Organism: Nicotiana attenuata
Lineage: Eukaryota; Viridiplantae; Streptophyta; Magnoliopsida; Solanales; Solanaceae
Gene name: protein DA1-related 1
Exons: 13
Source: RefSeq, a predicted model, not a curated record
UCAAGUCCUUUAUUUGGUUUCUCCCUUUCUGGCUUACUUUUUAUCUUUUCACACUUCCACUAGAAUGUUCCUCUGAACCUGCCAACAAGAAUUCCCCACUGCCCACUGCUGUGAUUUGAUCUUUCACUUUUUUUGUUGUUGUAAUUUUCCCAAGUUUUUCUUUAUUAUUCUUGUGUAGAAUGGUGGUGGUGGGGGAUAUGGUUAUCUCUCCAAUUCAGGGGCAUGACCUACCUUCAAACUGAAUUUGAUGCUUUGUCUGCUCCUUAUUCAUCAGAUUCCUUCAAAAUUGUGCUGAUUCUUUUAACUUUUUAGAAGUUUUUAUUGCCAACAAACCGGUUCCAGAUUCAUAUAGCUAACACCAACUUGCUUUGGGAUUGAGGCAUAUAACUGACGUCAUUUGUGUUAUGGGCUGGCUAGAAAAGAUAUUUGGAGGUUCCACUCACAGGAUCUCUGGUGGGCAAUAUCAUGGGGGGUAUGAGAGUGGGCAAUAUCAUGGGGGCUAUGACGGAGGACAAUAUCAUUUGGGGCACGAAGGAGGGCAAUAUCAGGGAGGGUACGAGGACAGUACAAUUUGGGAGGGACCAACUGCUUCAGUGGAUGCAUUGUCAGAUUUCGAUAAUGAAGAAAUUGAUCGUGCCAUUGCACUUUCUCUAGCCGAAGAGGAUCAGAAAGGGAAAAAAGUAAUCGAGAGUGAACCCAACUUGGAGGAAGAUGAGGCGCUUGCCAAGGCUCUUCAGGAAAGUUUGAAUGUGGAGUCGUCUCCACCUCGAUAUGAUUAUGGAAGUUUCUUUCCACCAGUCUCACACUCGUAUCCACACGGAUAUAGGGUCUGUGCCGGUUGUAAUGCUGAAAUUGGUCAUGGAAGAUAUUUAAGUUGCAUGGGAGCUGUUUGGCAUGCAGAAUGUUUCCGUUGCCAUGGUUGCAAUCAACCGAUUUCUGACUAUGAGUUUUCGAUGUCAGAUAACCGUCCAUACCAUAAAUCAUGCUACAAAGAACAGCAUCACCCAAAAUGUGAUGUUUGCAAGAACUUCAUUCCAACAAAUCCGGCUGGUCUAAUUGAAUAUAGGGCUCAUCCUUUCUGGCUUCAGAAGUAUUGCCCAUCACAUGAAACUGAUGGGACACCUCGUUGUUGCAGUUGUGAGAGAAUGGAGCCCGUAGAUGCCAGAUAUCUGAUAAAUGAUGAUGGUAGGAAGCUGUGUCUAGAGUGCUUGGACUCUGCAAUAAUGGAUACUCAUGAAUGUCAGCCCCUUUAUCUUGAGAUACAAGAAUUUUAUGAAGGUUUAAAUAUGAAAGUGGAGCAGCAAAUUCCUUUGCUUCUAGUGGAAAGACAAGCCUUAAAUGAAGCAAUGGAAGGAGAAAAAAAUGGUCAUCAUCACAUGCCUGAGACUCGAGGACUCUGCCUCUCUGAAGAACAGACCAUUAGCACUAUUUCAAGGCGGCCAAAAAUUGGUGGUUAUCGGAUUUUAGAUAUGUUUACAGAGCCUUACAGGUUAAUUCGACGAUGUGAAGUGACAGCUAUUUUAAUCUUGUAUGGUCUCCCUAGGUUAUUGACUGGUUCAAUUCUGGCUCAUGAAAUGAUGCAUGCAUGGCUCCGGCUUAAAGGUUAUCCGAGUCUAAGUCCAGAAGUUGAAGAAGGUAUCUGCCAAGUAUUAGCUCACAUGUGGUUGGACUCUGAAAUUAUAGCUGGUUCUGGCAGUAAUAGUACUUCUGCAUCUUCCUCGGCGUCCUCAUCAUCCUCUUCAUCACCAUCUACUACUUCAUCAAAGAAAGGGAAACGUUCCGAGUUUGAGAAGAAAUUGGGUGAUUUUUUCAAGCACCAGAUUGAAUCAGAUACCUCAGCAGCUUAUGGGGAUGGAUUCAGAGAAGGCAAUAAGGCAGUGCUCAAGUAUGGCCUCAAGGCAACACUUGACCAUAUCAAGCUUACAGGAACCUUCCCUUGUUAAAUUAUUCAGUGACUCUGAGUGCUUCCACUUCAACUCGAUUCUAGUUUUAUAGGACCAAAUACCAUACAGAGGUGAUAAUCAUCAUAAUGAUAAUACAAUAAUGAAAAGAAGAGGAAGAGUGAUGGUCUAAUCCUGGUUGACUCCAUUUAAGCAGCAAACCUCAGCAUAUUUUGGUAGAUAAUGCUUCUUCAGCUAGAAGGGGAGCCUUGGCGUAACUGGUAAAGUUGCUGCCAUGUGACCAGGAGGUCACGGGUUCGAGCGAGCUUAGUGCACCGAACUGCCCUUUUAAUACUUCUUCUGCUAAUUUCACCCAUGUGAGUUUCAUAUAGUCGGUUCUAAAUUAGAACAAAGGAGGAGAGCUGCUGUAGGUUGAGGGAGUCGAUGCAUAAAUAAUCUACCAGACUGAGAGUAUUCAUUUAAAUUGAUUUCAGUUACUUUAGGAUUGAGUCAAGGGUUACACGUGGCCUUGGAAAUUGCAAAUGCUUAGCAGUACGUGCAUGAACAUACACAUUUAAGUUUUUACCCUUUUAAUGGUGCUCUAAAUCUAGCUGCCGUGGCAUCGUAUUAGAUGUUUGUUCUGAUUUUCUUAUCAUAUUUGGUUUUUCUAUUCGUUGAAGGAAGUGUAACAUAUUUAUCAUAAUUAUUUUUUCCUUUUAUGACAAGAAAAAUAUAAUUCUUCCA